ACUCCUACGGGAGGCAGCAGUGGGGAAUUUUGGACAAUGGGCGAAAGCCUGAUCCAGCAAUGCCGCGUGAGUGAAGAAGGCCUUCGGGUUGUAAAGCUCUUUUGUCAGGGAAGAAACGGUGAAAGCUAAUAUCUUUUGCUAAUGACGGUACCUGAAGAAUAAGCACCGGCUAACUACGUGCCAGCAGCCGCGGUAAUACGUAGGGUGCAAGCGUUAAUCGGAAUUACUGGGCGUAAAGCGUGCGCAGGCGGUUUUGUAAGUCUGAUGUGAAAUCCCCGGGCUCAACCUGGGAAUUGCAUUGGAGACUGCAAGGCUAGAAUCUGGCAGAGGGGGGUAGAAUUCCACGUGUAGCAGUGAAAUGCGUAGAUAUGUGGAGGAACACCGAUGGCGAAGGCAGCCCCCUGGGUCAAGAUUGACGCUCAUGCACGAAAGCGUGGGGAGCAAACAGGAUUAGAAACCCUUGUAGUCCCAUG
This 473-nucleotide ribosomal RNA is filed under the name uncultured organism. Its description in RNAcentral is "partial 16S ribosomal RNA". It matches the Rfam family "Bacterial small subunit ribosomal RNA", at positions 335 to 799 of the family's 1533-position model. The record is from RNAcentral.